RNAcentral lists this ribosomal RNA (253 nucleotides) under uncultured bacterium. Its description in RNAcentral is "partial 16S ribosomal RNA". It matches the Rfam family "Bacterial small subunit ribosomal RNA", at positions 524 to 776 of the family's 1533-position model. The record is from RNAcentral.
UACGUAGGGAGCAAGCGUUGUCCGGAAUCAUUGGGCGUAAAGCGCGCGUAGGCGGCUCGAUCAGUCUGUUGUGAAAGUCAAAGGCUCAACCUUUGAAUGCCGAUGGAUACUGUCGAGCUAGAGUCCGGAAGAGGCGAGUGGAAUUCCCGGUGUAGCGGUGAAAUGCGCAGAUAUCGGGAGGAACACCAAUGGCGAAGGCAGCUCGCUGGGACGGUACUGACGCUGAGACGCGAAAGCGUGGGGAGCAAACAGG